Molecule: ribosomal RNA, 303 nt
Filed under: Escherichia coli
Lineage: Bacteria; Pseudomonadati; Pseudomonadota; Gammaproteobacteria; Enterobacterales; Enterobacteriaceae
Description: partial 23S ribosomal RNA
Rfam family: Bacterial large subunit ribosomal RNA
Source: RNAcentral
CGAAUAGGGGAGCCGAAGGGAAACCGAGUCUUAACUGGGCGUUAAGUUGCAGGGUAUAGACCCGAAACCCGGUGAUCUAGCCAUGGGCAGGUUGAAGGUUGGGUAACACUAACUGGAGGACCGAACCGACUAAUGUUGAAAAAUUAGCGGAUGACUUGUGGCUGGGGGUGAAAGGCCAAUCAAACCGGGAGAUAGCUGGUUCUCCCCGAAAGCUAUUUAGGUAGCGCCUCGUGAAUUCAUCUCCGGGGGUAGAGCACUGUUUCGGCAAGGGGGUCAUCCCGACUUACCAACCCGAUGCAAACU